ACGCUCGACACCUACGUGAGGCAGCAGUGGGGAAUAUUGGGCAAUGGGCGCAAGCCUGACCCAGCAACGCCGCGUGAAGGAAGAAGGCUUUCGGGUUGUAAACUUCUUUUAUUAAGGACGAAGCAAUGACGGUACUUAAUGAAUAAGCUCCGGCUAACUACGUGCCAACAGCCGCGGUAAUCUGAGCGGGCUGGCAAGGC
Molecule: ribosomal RNA, 200 nt
Filed under: uncultured bacterium
Lineage: Bacteria
Description: partial 16S ribosomal RNA
Rfam family: Bacterial small subunit ribosomal RNA
Source: RNAcentral